UCUGAGACUUUCGAAUGGAUCAAAAAGACCAGACAAUGGACAAAAGAAACAAUGCAAGAGUGAUUGGUGCACUCAAAUGUUUCAGCUGAAAUAAGUUAUGUAAAGAUUAAGACCUUCACUAAAAAUAUUGCAAUAAUUAUCGUCUAAUAAUGCUAUGUACUGCACCAUGUAGCUGAUCCCAGGUGCAGUUUCUUACACUUGUCCUUGUUGAACUUCAUGAGGUUCACAUGGACUCACCUCUCAAGCCUGUCACUGUGCACCUAGAUGGCAUCUCUUCCCUCUAAAGUAUCAACU
Molecule: long non-coding RNA, 294 nt
Organism: Passer domesticus (house sparrow)
Lineage: Eukaryota; Metazoa; Chordata; Aves; Passeriformes; Passeridae
Exons: 3
Source: RefSeq, a predicted model, not a curated record